GGCUCUGUGGCGCAAUGGAUAGCACGUUGGACUUCUAAUUCAAAGGUUGUGGGUUUGAGUCCCACCGGAGUCU
Molecule: transfer RNA, 73 nt
Filed under: Gadus morhua (Atlantic cod)
Lineage: Eukaryota; Metazoa; Chordata; Actinopteri; Gadiformes; Gadidae
Description: tRNA-Arg (TCT) (tRNA-Arg-TCT-16-1)
Rfam family: tRNA
About the family: Transfer RNA (tRNA) molecules are approximately 80 nucleotides in length.
Source: RNAcentral